UACAGAGAGUGCGAACGUUGUUCGGAAUCACUGGGCUUGAAGCGCACGUAGGCGGCAUCGUAAGUGUCGGGUGAAAUCCCACGGCUCACCCGUGGAACUGCCCGGCAGACUGCGAUGCUCGAGUGUGGUAGGGGAGAACGGAACUCCUGGUGGAGCGGUGAAAUGCGUAGAUAUCAGGAGGAACACCGGUGGCGAAGGCGGGUCUCUGGGCAGUAACUGACGCUGAGGAGCGAAAGCGUGGGGAGCGAACAGGAUUAGAUACCCCAGUAGU
Molecule: ribosomal RNA, 271 nt
Filed under: uncultured bacterium
Lineage: Bacteria
Description: partial 16S ribosomal RNA
Rfam family: Bacterial small subunit ribosomal RNA
Source: RNAcentral